AUUUUAAGAAGUAAGAAAUAAGUUAUGUUUUGUCUGGAACACUAUGAACGCGUCAUCAACCACGUGGUGAAGAAGAACGUUGCCAUUUUGUGUUGAAUGCGUGUGGACCUGGGGAGAUAUCUUUCAAGUUUUUUCUGUAGGUAUAGGUAAUUGGUGUUGAGACAGUUGGGUUGAGACGGGCUUCUGCUUCAAGCAUUGUUCCUAAGGCUCUGUAGAAAUUUGAUAUGGCAGUGUAAGGGGUGUUCCGUUGCAGUAGCUACAUCACCAUCAUUACAUGAUUCUUCAGCUGAUUGCCAGGAUGAGGAGUUUGUGGAAGAGGAAGUUUCUGUUGCACCCG
Gadus morhua (Atlantic cod) is the source of this 337-nucleotide long non-coding RNA. RefSeq lists it as uncharacterized. The record is from RefSeq and is a predicted model, not a curated record. Lineage: Eukaryota; Metazoa; Chordata; Actinopteri; Gadiformes; Gadidae. The transcript has 4 exons.